Molecule: long non-coding RNA, 637 nt
Organism: Mauremys reevesii (Reeves's turtle)
Lineage: Eukaryota; Metazoa; Chordata; Testudines; Geoemydidae
Exons: 3
Source: RefSeq, a predicted model, not a curated record
GAACAAUGCCCAUGCUGACUCCCCGGGUGUGAGUGACUGGCCAACAGCCGCCUUGGGUGGAAGGGGAAGAAAGAUGUCUCCAAUUGUCACAGCGAGUAAAGAGCUCCGACCCUUUGAACUGCAAGGAUUGCUGCGUUCAAGCAUCGCACGCACUCUGCCCUGACCCUGCCCUCUGUAUAACGGCGACCAUGCUUAUUGAUUUUAGUCACACCUACCCAUGAGAGAAGAGAAGAAUGAGCGGAGACACAAUAACAGUGUCCAAAUACGUAAAAGGUUGCUAAAAAGAGGACAACGAUCAGUUGUUCUCCAUCCACCAAUGCAUGGAGAGAUUCCCUCUUUCAAGUACUUGCACAGACUCCAGAGCCAGUCUGCUCUGCCUGCCUUGCUGCUGCUGCUGAAAGAUGUGGCUGAAACUGAUGUGCUUGAAAGUCAUCGUAAAGGACACGGAACAAACACAUCUUCCUAGCUGCCAAGCCAUGAAGCUUCUGCAUUGAUCAUGCAGCUCUCUAGUGCUGGACAUUUGGUUGGGAUAGGCCUCACCUACUUAAGCAAAGCUAUAUGAAGUAAUCAGGGAGUUCUGUAUGCUUCAUACACUGCAAGUGUCCCUGUGACAAAUAAAAUAUUUACUCUUUAAAUA